This is a long non-coding RNA of Anguilla rostrata (American eel), 3729 nucleotides long. RefSeq lists it as uncharacterized. The transcript has 5 exons. NCBI's taxonomy places the organism in Eukaryota, Metazoa, Chordata, Actinopteri, Anguilliformes, Anguillidae. The record is from RefSeq and is a predicted model, not a curated record.
UGGGAGACAAAGUGCUUGAGUUUUCGCCACUGACCUCCACUUGUCUGUCUCUUCAGCAUUAACCCGAACCCUUCACUUUUCCACCUCUCUUUUCUUCCAGGGGAAUCAUAAACGGUCUCAGCUAAAUAAACAAGCCCUCAUUAAUGCGCUGCUCUCAUUUACAGAAGACAAAAUGACCUGCCAGACUUGAUUUGUACAGCAUUGGAUUUUUUGUUGAUCAUCAAGAAGAAUUCUAAGGGAAAAGCAGGACUCCAAAGACUCUGUAUGAUUAAAAAAUUAAAACAUGUCAAGGCCUUUUCACCUUUUAAAUCAUUUUCUAUUACCAAAUAUGUUUUCAGAAUUUUAUGGCCCACACUUGGAGAUAUACUGUAGCUGGUGUCCAGAGGGGUACACUUAUGACUGAUGCUGCUGCUAAGCUGUGAGUUGUUCUUUGAUUUGUAUCAGGAAGACGUUUCUGUUCCAAAAGAGUGUUUCUGAAGAGCCAGCAUGGGGACUGAAGAGCUGCUGUGCAGUCUCCUGGGAGUGAGAGAAAAACAAUCUGCACAUUUACAGAGUGCACUGCAUGCCAAACAUUUCCCAACCAGUUCAGCUUGUGAGCAUCCCCGCCUCAUGGAUCCACCAUUUCAUCUGCACAGGCUGUGCUUUUCAGCCCAGCUCUCACUGUCUGUGCCAGUCUGCGGAGCUGCAGCUCUCACAGUUUGCGCCCGUCUUCGCAGCUGCAGCUCUCACCGUCUGCGUCCGUCUGCGCAGCUGCAACUCUCACCGUCUGCGUCCGUCUGCGCAGCUGCAGAUCUCAACACCUGCGUCCGUCUGCGCAGCUGCAACUCUCACCAUCUGCGCCCGUAUGCGCAGCUGCAACUCUCACCAUCUGCGCCCGUAUGCGCAGCACAGCUGUGUCUUCAUACAGAUGUUUUUGGACUUCACGGCAGCGAGUUACCAGGAAACAUGAGAAGACCCUGCCUUUCCCCAGGAGACACUGGGUUAUGAGUCUCCAGCAGGCUCCCGCUCGGUGACAGAAAGGCGGCUGGACUGUUUAAGGGCAGAUGAGGCCGGGAUGUGCUGCGAUGAGCAGACAGAGUGUCCUGCCCGGGAUCCAGCGGAAUGAACAGAAUGAGGAAUGAUAGAUUUGUGUGGGAGAGAAGCAGGAAAAGCAGGCCGUCCCUUCAUCCUGUUGUUUUUGGAGGAAUACCGGGUGUGCCUCUGGUGCGUAGCAGAACCCAAAAGCGAAGAAGCACGCACCGUCGGAUGUGAGCCAGCUCCGGGCUCUUUCAGUGACCCCAGAGCACGAGCGCUCCAGGAUCUGAGGACACAACGGAUAGCCAAGCUCACUCAACGGGCCCCACGUGUGAAAGCGCCUCACUCAGCAAAUUAAACACUGAGUUCUUUUUCUCUGUUCUUCUUUUUCCCUCCAAACUUCUGCCACCGCAGGCCGCCACUUUCGGCUCGGCUAAUCGCUGCUUUAUCAGAGGGAGAGAGGCGUGUCCAUAUUAAUUAGACACACAAAACUCUCCUGCCGUGAGCCUCUGCAUGCAGUCAGACCCCCAGGGAAGACGGAAGGGCUUAUUUUAGGCCUAAUGACCAGGAGGAAAUCAAGGAAAAAUACAGAGGAAUGAAGUCAUUCUGACCUUUUAACAAAUCCAGCAUGUGGCCGCGGUGGAGAGCGAGCGGUGAUCCGCUGCACUCCCUCCCUGGUGGUCCCAGAGCAUCCGCACUGGCGCACGGCAGGGCCGGGGAAACAGAGAAAGUGAGCGCAGGACAGAUACCAUGUUUCCAUCUUUCUGCUUCCUGUCUGCACCACUUCACCUGCUCUCUGCUUCCUGCUUCCUGUCUCCACCACUUCACCUGCUCUCUGCUUCCUGCUUCCUGUCUCCACCACUUCACCUGCUCUCUGCUUCCUGUCUCCACCACUUCAUCUCUCUGCUUCCUGCCUGCACCACUUCACCUGCUCUCUGCUUCCUGUCUGCACUACUUCACCUGCUCUCUGCUUCCUGUCUCCACCACUUCACCUGAUCUCUGCUUCCUGUCUUCACCACUUCACCUGCUCUCCUCCUCCGCUCUUCUCCUCUCCUCUCUGCUCUGAUUCUCUGCAGGAUGUGGAAGAGCCUGCUGCACUGACCUGCUCAUGGGUUAGGUGAGGAGUGUUAUAUCCUCCUGCAGAGCUGGCAGGACUUGCUUUAUCCUCUACCUGUACCUGUGCUCAGCUGGGGGGGAGUCACAUGUAGCUCUUAUUACUGGAGGAAAUGGGGAAACAGUCUAUGUGCCCCCCCCCCAAAUCCCCCCCCCCAGGUUUCCGUGUUGAAUGAGCAGCAGAAGAUUUAUGCCUGAGUGCCACAGAACAGCUUUGGCUGGAUUUGGAGCCGUUUACCGUGUCAGAGGGGCUGAAGCCUGCGGUCUGAUGGAUAAGCCUGAGUAGAAGGGAAGUCUACAGUUACAGGAGCUGUUGCAUAUUUUAUAUUUUAUUUAGCAUCACAUGCCGUAUUUGGCCCCGUGGGGACUCUGGUUCAGGUAGCCGAACCCCCACAUGGAAGAAGAGGGGGGGAUAACAGGCUGGUUUCCUCUCUUCCUCUUCCUCUGCCCCAGAUGUGCUUAUGAAGCUCUGCUAAUAAACAGACACACAGGCUGACUCUGUGCUGUGACUGCUCAGACUGUAAUGUAGGGAUCAUUGUACUGAGCGUGCCCGUGUCUAAGUGUGCUGGAGUUAUUCAAUCAAACACAGUCUGAUGUUUAUAUUUUACUGUGAUUUUCAGUAGCUACCUUAUAUAAACAUUGGCAGCCACACUGGUUGCUCUGCUGCUCAUUUAUGAGUCUGUAUGUCCGUCUGUGUCUGUCUGUCAGUCAGUUGGUAUGUUUGUCUGUCUGUCUGUCGAUCAGUCUGUAUGUCCAUCUGUGUAUCUGUCUGUCUGUCUGUCUGUAUGUCCAUCUGUGUGUCUGUCUGUCUGUCUGUCUAUUGGUCAUUCUGUUUGUCUAUCUGUGUCAGUCAGUCGGAUGUCUGCUGCCUCAGUGAGGCACACUGAUGUGACAGGGGGAAAUGUGAACAUUAAAUGAGACAUUUUAUUGGCCUUUUUUAGGAGCUGGUUUCCUUUGGGGAGCAGCAAUAACAGAAACCUCUCCAAAUUCGGAAAAUAUUUUUCAACAUCUGCCACAAAACCCAAAUUGGAGUAAUGGUUUGAGUUUAAAUUGAUUUCUAAAAAUGAUGCUCCAUUAGAGGUUGAAAAUCUUGGGGGAUUUAUUAUGAUUGAAUCUGAGAAAAAAAUCCAUUUCAGGGGGAUUGGAGGAGAGAGAAUUGAGGCUGGCCCUUAUUGGGUCAGACGUGUUUAACUGUACUGUUCAUUUAGGAAAGCUGUAUAUUGAUUCAUUGGGAAAGACGAGGCUGAAAGUUGAAAGUGAUUAUUCUUCUCAAGGUGAACUCGUUAAAGCCGUUUAUUGCACUGACAUGAUGAAGGAGGAGCGGAUUAAUUUUCCAGAUGUAUGUGAUGUGAUGUGCGGUGAGAAUGUGGCAGUGUGUUCGCUCAGGUGGACCAGGCCAGUGUUCAGGUGGGGAACACCUGGAGUUCAGGUGUUCCUCAGCCUCCUUGCUCCUGGUGGCACUUACACAGGCCUGAGUGCACGUGCUCAGUGUAUUUAAAGAGUCAUUUACACUGUAGGAGAGCAUAUACAUCAGCUCCACAGAGAAAUACACUGUAGGAGAGCAUGUACAUCAGCUCCACAGAGAAAUACACUGUAGGAGAG